Molecule: long non-coding RNA, 337 nt
Filed under: Androctonus crassicauda
Lineage: Eukaryota; Metazoa; Arthropoda; Arachnida; Scorpiones; Buthidae
Source: RNAcentral
CAUAAAUAAAGGAAAAACAUCUAUGGUACUAGCGAAAGAGUGUUAUGCUUCAAAUGUAGAAGUGCACUUGGACCGUGUUAAAAUAAUUAAAAAAACUGAAAACCUAGAGCAAGGCCUAAUAAGAGAGUCGUUAGAGAUAGAAAAAAGAAGAAAUUAUGAUAAUAUCCUGAACAACAGAGAUUCUAAGGAGGUACCAAUCCUAUGGCUAUAUGCCAUUAAGAAAACAAAUAGAUAGCAAAUAGCAGCAAUAUCAUGACACAUACACAAUACAAAGAAUUAUAGCAGCAUAGUGUUUUAUUCUUUAAAUAUUUAAUUUUAUAAUUAUUUUUUACUUUUA